CGUGCUACACAUGCAGUCGAACGAUGAACCACCUUCGGGUGGGGAUUAGUGGCGAACGGGUGAGUAACACGUGGGCAAUCUGCCCUGCACUCUGGGACAAGCCCUGGAAACGGGGUCUAAUACCGGAUACUGAGCCUCGCAGGCAUCUGCGGGGUUCGAAAGCUCCGGCGGUGCAGGAUGAGCCCGCGGCCUAUCAGCUUGUUGGUGAGGUAACGGCUCACCAAGGCGACGACGGGUAGCCGGCCUGAGAGGGCGACCGGCCACACUGGGACUGAGACACGGCCCAGACUCCUACGGGAGGCAGCAGUGGGGAAUAUUGCACAAUGGGCGAAAGCCUGAUGCAGCGACGCCGCGUGAGGGAUGACGGCCUUCGGGUUGUAAACCUCUUUCAGCAGGGAAGAAGCGAAAGUGACGGUACCUGCAGAAGAAGCGCCGGCUAACUACGUGCCAGCAGCCGCGGUAAUACGUAGGGCGCGAGCGUUGUCCGGAAUUAUUGGGCGUAAAGAGCUCGUAGGCGGCUUGUCGCGUCGGUUGUGAAAGCCCGGGGCUUAACCCCGGGUCUGCAGUCGAUACGGGCAGGCUAGAGUUCGGUAGGGGAGAUCGGAAUUCCUGGUGUAGCGGUGAAAUGCGCAGAUAUCAGGAGGAACACCGGUGGCGAAGGCGGAUCUCUGGGCCGAUACUGACGCUGAGGAGCGAAAGCGUGGGGAGCGAACAGGAUUAGAUACCCUGGUAGUCCACGCCGUAAACGGUGGGCACUAGGUGUGGGCGACAUUCCACGUCGUCCGUGCCGCAGCUAACG
Molecule: ribosomal RNA, 799 nt
Filed under: Streptomyces sp. D204
Lineage: Bacteria; Bacillati; Actinomycetota; Actinomycetes; Kitasatosporales; Streptomycetaceae
Also listed under: 8 other names
Description: bacterial SSU rRNA
Rfam family: Bacterial small subunit ribosomal RNA
Source: RNAcentral